GACGACGCUGGCGGCAGGCCUAACACAUGCAAGUCGAGCGAGCGGCGUACGGGUUAGUAAUGUAUGUGGAUCUGACCGAUAGAGGGGGAUCACUACUGGAAACGGUUGCUACUACCGCCUACUAUCGGAUGGACCCAUGUGGGAUUAGCUAGUGGGGGGGGUAAAGGCUCACCUAGGCGACGAUCUCUAGCUGGUCUGAGAGGAUGAUCAGCCACACUGGGACUGAGAAACGGCCCAGACUCCUACGGGAGGCAGCAGGGGGGAAUAUUGGACAAUGGGCGCAAGCCUGAUGCAGCCAUGCCGCGUGUAUGAAGAAGGCCUUAGGGUUGUAAAGUACUUUCAGUGGGGAGGCGUUACCCGCAGAAUAAGCACCGGCUAACUCCGUGCCAGCAGCCGCGGUAAUAC
Molecule: ribosomal RNA, 405 nt
Filed under: uncultured bacterium
Lineage: Bacteria
Description: partial 16S ribosomal RNA
Rfam family: Bacterial small subunit ribosomal RNA
Source: RNAcentral